RNAcentral lists this ribosomal RNA (199 nucleotides) under uncultured bacterium. Its description in RNAcentral is "partial 16S ribosomal RNA". It matches the Rfam family "Bacterial small subunit ribosomal RNA", at positions 1302 to 1500 of the family's 1533-position model. The record is from RNAcentral.
AGUCUGCAACUCGACUGCACGAAGUCGGAAUUGCUAGUAAUCGCGGAUCAGCAUGCCGCGGUGAAUACGUUCCCGGGCCUUGUACACACCGCCCGUCACACCAUGAGAGUCGGGAACACCCGAAGUCCGUAGUCUAACCGCAAGGGGGGCGCGGCCGAAGGUGGGUCCGGUAAUUGGGGUGAAGUCGUAACAAGGUAUC